RNAcentral lists this ribosomal RNA (32 nucleotides) under Beauveria bassiana. RNAcentral describes it as "partial 18S ribosomal RNA". The record is from RNAcentral. Lineage: Eukaryota; Fungi; Ascomycota; Sordariomycetes; Hypocreales; Cordycipitaceae.
GUAGUUGAACCUGCGGAGGGAUCAUUACCGAG